This 585-nucleotide long non-coding RNA is filed under the name Ananas comosus (pineapple). RNAcentral's name for it is "long non-coding RNA (ACOM_LNC032468)". The record is from RNAcentral. Lineage: Eukaryota; Viridiplantae; Streptophyta; Magnoliopsida; Poales; Bromeliaceae.
AGAGAGAGUUUUGCUAUAAUACUAUCGGUAGUAAACGGCUCGGUUUACUGCCGAUUUAUUUUCGAUGAUAGAGCUUCCAAAUUGAUGAUCGGCACCGUUAAAUAUGAUCUUAACUAUUUAAACUAUCGGGAAAUCAAAUUUCACACAUUUUCGAUAUUGUUCUCUUGUCCAUCAAGUGAACAGAAAAAUGAACGGCUGGAAAUGAAUUUCCUUCAAAAAGUGAUGCUACAAUUUUUAUAUUUGAGAUCUAGAGUCUAGAUCUUAUUUUAUAUAGUUUAAAGAAUUUUUUAAUAAAAAUUUAGCUGAUUUGAACUCUUCUAUACUGUUAAACGAGCAAACACACCAUAUCGGCCAUUAAAAUUAUAGAUUUUGUGACCCUUUGAUCGUUCAGUUAGUGACGCCGAAAAAUCAUGAAAUUUGAUUUAUAGAUAAUUUAAAUGGUCUAGAUCAUGUUCAACGGUGCCAAUCGUCGAUUUGGAAGCUCUAUCAUCAAAAACAAAUCGGUAGUAAACCGAGAAGUUUACUACCGAUAGUAGCCCAGUCAAACUAUAUAUAUAUAUAUAUAUAUAUAUAUAUAUAUAUAUA